CAAUAAUAUUUUAUUAAAUGCAGGUUAUAACAAGCAAGUUAAAGUUCAUUAAUAAGUAAACCUUCAGAGAUAGAAGUAAAUUGUAUACUUAAGAUUGAUGGGAGUUGUCCUCCAUGGAACUGAAUAGUUUGAGUCCAAAGGAUGUUUGACAUAAACAGUCCGGUUUCAAGGAAAUAAGUAGAGAUCCGGUAAAUUCAAUACGGUCCGUGGUCAGAGGGCAAUGAAAAGGCAAAAGUCCGUUACAACAAUCCAAGGUUUAGUACACGUUAGGAACGAAGAGAAGCUUAGCCAGCGUUGAAUGCGGAAGUGACAUCCGAAAUCACCAAGCACCUUGAAUCUGGCGCGGUCUCUCUAUAAAGCGUGAGAGAGCAGCGUCAGAAAGGGGGCGGAGCUGGUUCCGCAUACCGGAAAUGCCGG
Pelobates cultripes (western spadefoot toad) is the source of this 417-nucleotide non-coding RNA. The record is from the annotation of a GenBank genome assembly. Lineage: Eukaryota; Metazoa; Chordata; Amphibia; Anura; Pelobatidae.